Long non-coding RNA from Triticum aestivum (bread wheat), 3490 nucleotides. RefSeq lists it as uncharacterized. The transcript is spliced from 12 exons. The record is from RefSeq and is a predicted model, not a curated record. NCBI's taxonomy places the organism in Eukaryota, Viridiplantae, Streptophyta, Magnoliopsida, Poales, Poaceae.
UCUUCGUUCUCCCAGUCGCCCCCACCAUCCCCGCACUCGCCGCUGCCACCACCCUUCAUCCCCCGUGCUCCGCCUCCUCCCCUCCCCUCCCGUCGCCCAAAUCACAUGCCCGCCGGUCGGGCCGCGGUGGCCAGAUUCGAAGACGGCCUGGCGGCGACCACUCCUGUGAGGCCCGGCGGCGAGCAGCGCGCGCCGAGGGGUAGAAGGGCGCUCUGGAUCCGGGCGCGAUGGCGGCCAUGGCCGAGCUCGAGCCCAGGCAUGUGGGUGCGUUGGUGAGCGCGGCGGCGGUCGGGGCCGAGCUCUGAGCACGGCGGCGGCCAUGGCUUAACUCGAGCGUCUCGUACGUGAUGAUUCAGGGGCGCAAUUCCGACGACUGUCAAAUCUUUAUUCUUGUGGUCGUUGGGCCAGAUUGGUUGUCACACUCAUCAAUCUAUGGGAGCUCCUUUUGGUCAACCCUCUUGUCUGCUCAUUGUUGGAUCUAUAGCAGCCUCCCUGUCUUCGUCCAGGGACUUACAGCCGCCUGUCGACAGUGUGUGCCGCCCGCCACCACCAACAAGAUAUGGGAGAAAGAGUUGGAGGUAGAGGGAGAUGGGGUGGUAAGAAGAGAGGGUGAGGAAGGAGGAAGUGGAUAUCCCCCAGCACCCAUGGUGGGCGCCCAGAUCCCAUCUCCACGCCACCACGAGGUGAGCGGAUUAGUGAAAUUGUGUUCAGUCCAUACUACAUGUCCUCGGAGGGUAUUAAAGCACAACUUUGGCCCUGAAAUCAAUGUCUGGAUUGCAGGAGUUAUAUGCGUCACCAUUUUAGGAAGAAACUAAAGAGGGAGUACCACAUGCAAUUAUAUGCUCUGUGGUAGAUUUAAAAAGAGACGCAUGGCCCAGAGUAUUUGAGCCUGCUAAAGACUUUGUUCGACAGAUGCUGGAUCCAAAUCUGAUCACACAGCUUACUGCAGCACAAGUACUCGGAUCUCCCUAAACACGCCUCAUCAAAUCCACCUGCGAGCUGCACGACAAGCUAUGAUUAAAUACCAUGUACAAGUAUGGGACAGAGUAGUACGAGCAAAUGAAGGUUACUGGACAGGCACAUGGAUCAUGAGCUCCUCUUUUUCAGGGGCCACCUUACUUGUGUGGCCUCAGGCUGAGGAGACCUUUCUAAGUUUUAACUAGGACCUGAAGAUGAUAAGGCACCACUUCCACGACGACAUCAACAUCGUCGUGGUGUGUCUUCAACGACACUCGGGGCGCUGUCAGAUAAUGGCCGUGGAGCAGCAACUGCACUAGUGACCCUGCCAUGACGAAGCUAUGGACAACACAUCACCAUAACCACAUUGAUGGUCCAAGCCCCAGUCUUGGCGCGAGGGUGCCGGUCUCAAUGAUGCUCCUCCUCUCCUUUCCUUGGCUGGUAGCGGCCUGUGCUGCACUUCUUACCCCGAGCGCCGUCCUCACCACACCUUGGCCUUGGCCUCGCCUCCUCUUCCUACAGGUCACCGCUACCAGCCGGUGGGUCACAAGAUUCACCCUGGCUACUCAGUAAACCGUCGCCCUCCAGCUGGUUAGAUAGAUCUAGCGAACUUUGGUGGGCAACUAUUUUGCCAGGCAGAUGCUUUCCUCUGCUCGGUCAAUUAUGUGUCAGUCCCAAGUACAGUUGAUCAGCGGCCGCACAACAUUGAAAUUGGUCAGAGGUAGGGUUAUUGUUGAGAAGCUUAGGGAUCAAGGGAUGGCCUUCCUUGUCGGCGGUGGAUCAGGUACACUUCACUCUUACAUCGCAGUGUUGCGUAUUGAUGUGGGUAUUAGUAAUUAAAGGCUUAAAGCUGCAAUGCCAUUUAUGUUGGUUUAAGUUUAGACCUUAUUAUUUUAGGUCUUAAACAUGACAAAGCUGUGAUUCUGUAAAAGCUCUAGGGCAUGUUGAUGCGAUAUAUUGCUGUGAAAUAGGUCAUGGCAAACUUUACUUUUACUCAAAUAUGGAUGUUGUUGACAUGGGAGUACUUACUACAGCAUCUGAUUCAGUAUACUUGCAGUAUUUUGUGUUAAACUAUUACCAGCUAGAUUUCUGGGAGCACCAAAUCAUGAUUUUAUUUCACACAAACAUGAAACCUGUCGUCUGAUGCUAAUUUUGUUUUGGCACUAGCAAAAUAUUGCAUCUUUAGUAAAUUCGACGGGGUCAUAACUUUGGGAGCUUUUGCUCUUUACCUUUGUUAGUAAUGCAGAAAAUUCUUGUUCCCCGGGAGGUGAUUACUGUCGAUUGUGCUUGUAUUUUGGCUAUGACAACCACCAUCAACUUUCUGUUAUAGAACCAUACCCCACAUAGAAGAGGAAUCCUUGUAUAUGGGGUGAGUAUAUCAUGCUUCUCCUUUUCCUACUACUUUUCGAAGAGGAGCGGUAUGUUCCUUUGUGUUGAGAUUUCCUUUGUUUCGUUGCACCAAGAAGCAUCAUUUUAUGCAGGGUGUCAACUAGCUAAAAGCAUCUCUGACAGGACGUUGCCCUGUCCCUGGCCAACAUCGAUGCGGUUCUUUCCUAUUGACCUGAGUUAUUUAAACGAUUCAUAUGAACAAUGAUUUUCUUUGCAUCAUUGUCAUAUCAUGUUGUUCAAUAAGUAUUUGUUUUCUUCACCUAUUCAAGAGAUAUUUUUUUAUAGUUAGAACAACUGAACAAAUAUAUUGUUUUGUGGUGAACUGACUAAGAAAAAAUAACGACCAGCAAAUUGUGCACUCGCAAGAGCCAUAUACUGUAAACUUAAGUGAUUGUCAAAUUCACUGACCGUAUGUGAAUUGGUGUAAUUAUUUUAGAAAGUCAAUUGAAUAUAUAAUCUAGAAAGAUUAGUAGCCCUGUCUCAGUAUAAAUUUCAUGCAUAGUAGUCUCGCAUGGCAUGUACAUAAACAGAGGAACGCACUACAUAAUCAGUUUUCGCACUACAUAAUCAGUUUUAUCUGCAGUGAAUAAACAAACACUAUCACUGAGCAUUUUUCUUGUGGAAGUUCUCAUCUCAGCUGACAUGUUUCCUGAUGCAAACUCAUUCAGUAUAGCCUUCACUGCACAUCAUUUGGUUGAUGUUUAGUUCUUGGGUUUCUGCAGAUGCAAACUGGAGCCGGCGACCAGCCCUUCUUCCUCGCCCUCAGCCUUGACACCACCGCUGACGCCUCCAGGAGCAGUCGGGCAUUAGCGGCGACGCCGGCAAGGCAACAUGCGUUGCAAUAUGCAAGCAAAUCAAAUAUUCAACCAUGUGGUUUACUAUUAUGCAGUGUGAAAAACGGUGUAAAUAAGUUAUCUGGGACUAAUACUAUAGCCUGCUUUUGAUUUCCACCAUAACAAACGUUGCUUAGGUAUUUCACAUGUCACAUUGUAUAACAAAUGCGCCGAUGGCAUGUAGGUAGGGCCAUUUUUUAGAUAUUUUACAGUGUGUUCACUGUUGUGAGUAUCUACCAUUACCUACUCUUUGAGUAAUAUCAGAUAUAUUUCCAUGAUAUAUUGAGUAAUAUCAUAUGUUGAUCGAAAAA